Molecule: ribosomal RNA, 253 nt
Filed under: uncultured bacterium
Lineage: Bacteria
Description: partial 16S ribosomal RNA
Rfam family: Bacterial small subunit ribosomal RNA
Source: RNAcentral
UACGUAGGGUGCAAGCGUUGUCCGGAAUUAUUGGGCGUAAAGAGCGCGCAGGCGGUCGUUCAAGUCGUGUGUGAAAGCCCCCGGCUCAACUGGGGAGGGUCACGCGAUACUGAUCGACUCGAAGGCAGGAGAGGGAAGUGGAAUUCCCGGUGUAGUGGUGAAAUGCGUAGAGAUCGGGAGGAACACCAGUAGCGAAGGCGGCACUCUGGGCCGGUACUGACGCUGAGGAGCGAAAGCGUGGGGAGCGAACAGG